RNAcentral lists this ribosomal RNA (504 nucleotides) under uncultured bacterium. RNAcentral's name for it is "bacterial SSU rRNA". It matches the Rfam family "Bacterial small subunit ribosomal RNA", at positions 93 to 614 of the family's 1533-position model. The record is from RNAcentral.
UAGCGGCGGACGGGUGAGUAACGCGUGGGCAAUCUGCCCUGUGGCAAGGGAUAGCCUCGGGAAACCGGGAUUAAUACCUUAUAAAAUUAGCACUUUACAUGAAGAGCUAAUCAAAGAUUUAUCGCCACAGGAUGAGCCCGCGUCCCAUUAGCUAGUUGGUGAGAUAACAGCUCACCAAGGCGACGAUGGGUAGCCGACCUGAGAGGGUGAUCGGCCACACUGGGACUGAGACACGGCCCAGACUCCUACGGGAGGCAGCAGUGGGGAAUAUUGCGCAAUGGGGGAAACCCUGACGCAGCAACGCCGCGUGAGUGAUGAAGGUUUUCGGAUCGUAAAGCUCUGUUAUUGGGGAAGAAUAAUGACGGUACCCAAGGAGGAAGCCCCGGCUAACUACGUGCCAGCAGCCGCGGUAAUACGUAGGGGGCAAGCGUUGUCCGGAAUCAUUGGGCGUAAAGGGCGUGUAGGCGGUAUGAUAAGUCAGGUGUGAAAGUUUGGGGCUCAACC